This 296-nucleotide ribosomal RNA is filed under the name uncultured bacterium. Its description in RNAcentral is "partial 16S ribosomal RNA". It matches the Rfam family "Bacterial small subunit ribosomal RNA", at positions 775 to 1067 of the family's 1533-position model. The record is from RNAcentral.
GGAUUAGAUACCCUGGUAGUCCACGCUGUAAACGAUGGGUACUAGGUUUGGUGGGUCUUGACCCCCGCCGAGCCGGCGCUAACGCACUAAGUACCCCGCCUGGGAAGUACGGUCGCAAGACUAAAACUCAAAGGAAUUGACGGGGGCCCGCACAAGCGGUGGAUCAUGUGGUUUAAUUCGAAGCAACGCGAAGAACCUUACCUGGAUUUGACAUCUCUGGACAACUGUAGAGAUACAGCUUUCGUAGCAAUACGACCGGAAGACAGGUGCUGCAUGGCUGUCGUCAGCUCGUGCCG